GCCAGUGUGGCAUAAUGGUUUGAGCAUUGGGCUAUGACUUUGAAGACCAGGGUUUAAUUCCCAGCUUGGCCA
RNAcentral lists this transfer RNA (72 nucleotides) under Phrynosoma platyrhinos (Desert horned lizard). RNAcentral's name for it is "tRNA-OTHER". Lineage: Eukaryota; Metazoa; Chordata; Lepidosauria; Squamata; Phrynosomatidae. The record is from RNAcentral.